RNAcentral lists this long non-coding RNA (609 nucleotides) under Ficedula albicollis (Collared flycatcher). Its description in RNAcentral is "lncRNA (ENSFALG00000025465.1)". Lineage: Eukaryota; Metazoa; Chordata; Aves; Passeriformes; Muscicapidae. The record is from RNAcentral.
ACGCCAAACCCACCUGUGACCAUCCCAAACCCACCUGUGGCCACCCCAAACCCACCUGUGACCACCCCAAACCCACCUGUGACCACCCCAAACCCCCUCAAACCCUGGGGACUGGCCCCAAACCCUGGGGACAUCAUAGGGGCUGUCCUCAAACCCUGGGGACUGUCCCCAAACCCUGGGGACAUCAUAGGGGCUGUCCUCAAACCCUGGGGACUGUCCCCAAACCCUGGGGACAUCAUAGGGGCUGUCCUCAAACCCUGGGGACUGUCCCCAAACCCUGGGGACAUCAUGGGCCUGUCCCCAGACCCUGGGGACAUCAUGGGGACUGUCCCCAACCCUGAGGACAUUAUAGAGACUGUCCCCAAACCUGGAGGCAUCAUAGGGACUGUCCCCAAACCCACGUGUGACCACCCCAAACCCAGCCACGCUCAUUCUAAACCCAACCAUGACCAACCAAACCCAACCAUGACCACCUCACACCCGGCCAUGGCCAUUCUAAACCCGACCAUGACCACCCCAACCCCAGCUGUGGCCACCCCAACCCCAGCUGUGGCCACCCCAACCCCAGCUGUGGCCACCCCAACCCCAGCUGUGGCCACCCCAACCCCA